UACGUAGGGUGCAAGCGUUGUCCGGAAUUAUUGGGCGUAAAGAGCUCGUAGGCGGUUUGUUGCGUCGGCUGUGAAAUCCCGAGGCUCAACCUCGGGUCUGCAGUCGAUACGAGCAAACUAGAGUGUUGCAGGGGAGACUGGAAUUCCUGGUGUAGCGGUGAAAUGCGCAGAUAUCAGGAGGAACACCGGUGGCGAAGGCGGCAUUCUGGACUGUAACUGACACUGAGGAACGAAAGCCAGGGGAGCGAACGGG
RNAcentral lists this ribosomal RNA (253 nucleotides) under uncultured bacterium. RNAcentral's name for it is "partial 16S ribosomal RNA". It matches the Rfam family "Bacterial small subunit ribosomal RNA", at positions 524 to 776 of the family's 1533-position model. The record is from RNAcentral.